GUAGGUGAACCUGCGGAGGGAUCAUUAACACGUGCCAAAACACGUUUUAAACCAAUCGCUCUGUGAACACAAACCCAACUCCCUUCACAUAUGGACGAUCGAACAACCAUCAGGGUGGAGAGCAAGUGCAUACGGACAAUCGGCUCCUCGGAGACGACUCGGUAUGUCUUGCGACUAUGGCUCGGUCUAGGGCUCCUUGAGAGUCCAAUCCUGUGUGAAGUGUUGCGCGACCACCUGGCAGUGUGCCGUU
Molecule: unclassified non-coding RNA, 250 nt
Filed under: plant metagenome
Description: partial contains small subunit ribosomal RNA, internal transcribed spacer 1, and 5.8S ribosomal RNA
Source: RNAcentral